RNAcentral lists this unclassified non-coding RNA (59 nucleotides) under Caenorhabditis elegans. RNAcentral's name for it is "Ce110 C/D snoRNA". It matches the Rfam family "Caenorhabditis snoRNA ceN42", at positions 68 to 125 of the family's 130-position model. The record is from RNAcentral. Lineage: Eukaryota; Metazoa; Nematoda; Chromadorea; Rhabditida; Rhabditidae.
UUUGAUGAUUACUAAUACUUCGCUGUCUUUAGAGGACGCGGAGAUUGUGAGACUUGAAA